GACGAACGCUGGCGGCGUGCUUAACACAUGCAAGUCGAAUGGAAAGGCCCUGCUUUUGUGGGGUGCUCGAGUGGCGAACGGGUGAGUAACACGUGAGUAACCUGCCCUUGACUUUGGGAUAACUUCAGGAAACUGGGGCUAAUACCGGAUAGGAGCUCCUGCUGCAUGGUGGGGGUUGGAAAGUUUCGGCGGUUGGGGAUGGACUCGCGGCUUAUCAGCUUGUUGGUGGGGUAGUGGCUUACCAAGGCUUUGACGGGUAGCCGGCCUGAGAGGGUGACCGGCCACAUUGGGCCUGAGAUACGGCCCAGACUCCUACGGGAGGCAGCAGUGGGGAAUAUUGCACAAUGGGCGGAAGCCUGAUGCAGCAACGCCGCGUGCGGGAUGACGGCCUUCGGGUUGUAAACCGCUUUCGCCUGUGACGAAGCGUGAGUGACGGUAAUGGGUAAAGAAGCACCGGCUAACUACGUG
Molecule: ribosomal RNA, 468 nt
Filed under: uncultured bacterium
Lineage: Bacteria
Description: partial 16S ribosomal RNA
Rfam family: Bacterial small subunit ribosomal RNA
Source: RNAcentral